This 306-nucleotide unclassified non-coding RNA is filed under the name plant metagenome. Its description in RNAcentral is "partial contains 5.8S ribosomal RNA, internal transcribed spacer 2, and large subunit ribosomal RNA". The stretch from base 1 to 105 matches the Rfam family "5.8S ribosomal RNA", at positions 50 to 154 of the family's 154-position model. The record is from RNAcentral.
GAAAUGCGAUAAGUAAUGUGAAUUGCAGAAUUCAGUGAAUCAUCGAAUCUUUGAACGCACAUUGCGCUCGCCAGUAUUCUGGCGGGCAUGCCUGUCCGAGCGUCAUUUCAACCAUCAAGCCCCCGGGCUUGUGUUGGGGACCUGCGGCUGCCCGCAGGCCCUGAAAACCAGUGGCGGGCUCGCUGUCACACCGAGCGUAGUAGCAAUCACCUCGCUCAGGGCGUGCUGCGGGUUCCGGCCGUUAAACAGCCUUACAAAACCCAAGGUUGACCUCGGAUCAGGUAGGAAGACCCGCUGAACUUAAGC